AUGGAGUUUGCCUAGUGCUGAACAUAAAAAGCUAAAAUUAGGACUCAAUCCAAUAUUGUAAAAAAGAAAUUGGUUAAAAGUUAUAGAUCAAUAACUGUUAACGUGACUCUAUUUUUCAGAUGGAUCAUGUUUACUGCUCCUGGUGAUGUGGAGGCUGGCUCCUUCCCACGGGCUGAAGCGACUUCGUGGUCCCCUUUGGAGCAUCCUGCGCUUCCAGUCGUGGCUCAGCUGUUGUGAGCAACCCACGAGCUCGCUGCAUGCUGUGGGGUUUCUUGUGGAGGAGGCUGACUCCACGGCAGGGUGGUGGAAGUGCUUCCCCCAGGACUGCAUUGAGUCCCUCUAGCUCUGAGCCCCAGGAACCAGCCUUUGGCUUUCCACCAGUAGCUCCUUCUGGACAGAAACCUCCAGUUUCUAAUGGAAAAAAAUAUAGUAUUAAACACAAGCAUGUCCUAGACUGUGAAAUGACAUGCAAGAAAGAGAUAAAACACUAAAAAAUUAAGAGGCAAUGGGAGCCAGCAACUUAAAGGAUCAUUGAAAAACCCUCUUCAGCAUGGGCCAAAUGGCAUCCAACCCAUGUAUCACAUAGCCUUGUCAAAAGCCUGACCGAGGGUGUACUUC
Molecule: long non-coding RNA, 618 nt
Filed under: Anser brachyrhynchus (Pink-footed goose)
Lineage: Eukaryota; Metazoa; Chordata; Aves; Anseriformes; Anatidae
Description: lncRNA (ENSABRG00000006378.1)
Source: RNAcentral